Long non-coding RNA from Trichechus manatus latirostris (Florida manatee), 259 nucleotides. RefSeq lists it as uncharacterized. The transcript is spliced from 3 exons. The record is from RefSeq and is a predicted model, not a curated record. NCBI's taxonomy places the organism in Eukaryota, Metazoa, Chordata, Mammalia, Sirenia, Trichechidae.
UCAUCUCUGAGGGCUGCCCUGUCUAGGGGAAGGAGGUGCUAGAGCUGGACCGGGUAAGGACCUUCCGAAAUCUUUAGUGACUUACCGUCCAUGAUGUCUAUCAUGCCCAGAGCAGCUCUGGGGGGAUCGUCUGCUCCUGAGAGCCACAGAUGGAAGGAUGUUUUGAACAAGACCAUAGAUAAGAAGUGUUCAUACCUUAAAGGUGCUUCAGGAGUCCCUGGGUGGUGCAAAUAGUUCAUGUUCUCAGCUGCUAACUGAA